RNAcentral lists this non-coding RNA (77 nucleotides) under Clostridium ihumii. RNAcentral's name for it is "Cyclic di-GMP-II riboswitch". It matches the Rfam family "Cyclic di-GMP-II riboswitch aptamer". Lineage: Bacteria; Bacillati; Bacillota; Clostridia; Eubacteriales; Clostridiaceae. The record is from RNAcentral.
AAUUUAGGAAAUGAAGAAGUAUAAUUUGUAUGUGGGCACUUAAAUUAUAUGGAGUUAGUAGUGCAACCGACCUAAUU